AUUGAACGCUGGCGGCAUGCCUUACACAUGCAAGUCGAACGGCAGCGGACCUUCGGGUGCCGGCGAGUGGCGAACGGGUGAGUAAUAUAUCGGAACGUACCUUUCAGUGGGGGAUAACGUAGCGAAAGUUACGCUAAUACCGCAUAUUCUGUGAGCAGGAAAGCAGGGGAUCGCAAGACCUUGCGCUGAUUGAGCGGCCGAUAUCAGAUUAGCUAGUUGGUGAGGUAAAGGCUCACCAAGGCGACGAUCUGUAGCGGGUCUGAGAGGAUGAUCCGCCACACUGGAACUGAGACACGGUCCAGACUCCUACGGGAGGCAGCAGUGGGGAAUUUUGGACAAUGGGCGCAAGCCUGAUCCAGCCAUGCCGCGUGAGUGAAGAAGGCCUCGGUUGUAAGUACUCUUUCGGUCCGGGAACGGAAAGUACGCACAGUUAAGUACCUACGUGUGGUAGUG
RNAcentral lists this ribosomal RNA (453 nucleotides) under uncultured bacterium. RNAcentral describes it as "bacterial SSU rRNA". It matches the Rfam family "Bacterial small subunit ribosomal RNA", at positions 30 to 477 of the family's 1533-position model. The record is from RNAcentral.